This 267-nucleotide ribosomal RNA is filed under the name unidentified gamma proteobacterium groupI. Its description in RNAcentral is "partial 16S small subunit ribosomal RNA". It matches the Rfam family "Bacterial small subunit ribosomal RNA", at positions 1106 to 1373 of the family's 1533-position model. The record is from RNAcentral. Lineage: Bacteria; Pseudomonadati; Pseudomonadota; Gammaproteobacteria.
UACCCUUAUUUGCCAGCGAUUCGGUCGGGAACUAUAAGGGGACUGCCGGUGAUAAACCGGAGGAAGGUGAGGACGACGUCAAGUCAUCAUGGCCCUUACGCAUAGGGCUACACACGUGCUACAAUGGAGAAUACAGACGGACGCUAAGCCGCGAGGUGGUGCCAAUCCUAGAAAAUUCUUCGUAGUCCGGAUUGGAGUCUGCAACUCGACUCCAUGAAGUCGGAAUCGCUAGUAAUCGCGAAUCAGCAUGUCGCGGUGAAUACGUUC